Molecule: ribosomal RNA, 492 nt
Filed under: uncultured bacterium
Lineage: Bacteria
Description: partial 16S ribosomal RNA
Rfam family: Bacterial small subunit ribosomal RNA
Source: RNAcentral
AGUGAACGCUGGCGGUAGGCCUAACACAUGCAAGUCGAACGGCAGCACAGUAAGAGCUUGCUCUUACGGGUGGCGAGUGGCGGACGGGUGAGGAAUACAUCGGAAUCUACUUUUUCGUGGGGGAUAACGUAGGGAAACUUACGCUAAUACCGCAUACGACCUACGGGUGAAAGCAGGGGAUCCUCGGACCUUGCGCGAUUGAAUGAGCCGAUGUCGGAUUAGCUAGUUGGCGGGGUAAAGGCCCACCAAGGCGACGAUCCGUAGCUGGUCUGAGAGGAUGAUCAGCCACACUGGAACUGAGACACGGUCCAGACUCCUACGGGAGGCAGCAGUGGGGAAUAUUGGACAAUGGGCGCAAGCCUGAUCCAGCCAUACCGCGUGGGUGAAGAAGGCCUUCGGGUUGUAAAGCCCUUUUGUUGGGAAAGAAGAGCAGCAGGUUAAUACCCCGCUGUUCUGACGGUACCCAAAGAAUAAGCACCGGCUAACUUCGUG